GACGAACGCUGGCGGCGUGCUUAACACAUGCAAGUCGAACGGAAAGGCCUCUUUCGGGGGGUACUCGAGUGGCGAACGGGUGAGUAACACGUGAGUAACCUGCCCUUGACUUUGGGAUAACUUCAGGAAACUGGGGCUAAUACCGGAUAGGAGCUCCUGCUGCAUGGUGGGGGUUGGAAAGUUUCGGCGGUUGGGGAUGGACUCGCGGCUUAUCAGCUUGUUGGGGGGGUAGUGGCUUACCAAGGCUUUGACGGGUAGCCGGCCUGAGAGGGUGACCGGCCACAUUGGGACUGAGAUACGGCCCAGACGCCUACGGGAGGCAGAAGUGGGGAAUAUUGCACAAUGGGUGGAAGCCUGAUGCAGCAACGCCGGGUGCGGGAUGACGGCCUUCGGGUUGUAAACCGCUUUCGCUCAUGACGAAGCUUUGUGUGACGGUAGUGGGUAAAGAAGCACCGGCUAACUACGUG
Molecule: ribosomal RNA, 467 nt
Filed under: uncultured bacterium
Lineage: Bacteria
Description: partial 16S ribosomal RNA
Rfam family: Bacterial small subunit ribosomal RNA
Source: RNAcentral